Molecule: long non-coding RNA, 453 nt
Filed under: Nicotiana benthamiana
Lineage: Eukaryota; Viridiplantae; Streptophyta; Magnoliopsida; Solanales; Solanaceae
Description: long non-coding RNA (NBEN_LNC021130)
Source: RNAcentral
ACACAAAUGUUGUGGAAAGUUGUGUGCCAACACCUCUCUUCUCUGAUGGAAUCUUCAUGAUCACAGAACCACCACUUUUCUGCUGCUUCUUGUGCACCUUCCAGAGCAAAUAACCAAUCUUUGAAUUCGAUGGAUAUAUCCACAUCAUCAGGUGUUUCCAAUUGUAAUCUUCCAGUGUCCUUUCCAUCUGGAAAGAAGAAAAGUAUGAGGAAAUGAGAUGAGUCCACAUCAUCAGGUGUUUCCAACUGUAAUCUUCCAGUGUCCUUUCCAUCUGGAAAGAAGAAAAGUAUGAGGAAAUGAGAUGACCAUCGAACAAAAAGAUCACAAGCAAAGUUAAUCACUGAACACAUAGACGACAAAGAAAAUGAAUACUCAUCCAUCCCGAAUUGCCUGUGCCUAAUUUGUAAGUGGUUCAAAAACAGUUUAACACAUUCACAAUAAAACAGAAUUUUG